AAUGAACGCUGGCGGCGCGCCUAAUACAUGCAAGUCGAGCGAGAAGACAUAGCAAUACGUUUGUAAAGCGGCGAACGGGUGAGGAAUACAUGGGUAACCUACCCUCGAGUGGGGAAUAACUAGCCGAAAGGUUAGCUAAUACCGCGUACGCUUCUUGGACUUCGGUUCAGGGAGGAAAGCGAUACCGUGGGUAUCGCGCUCUUGGAUGGGCUCAUGUCCUAUCAGCUUGUUGGGAGGUAACGGCUCACCAAGGCUUUGACGGGUAGCUGGUCUGAGAGGACGAUCAGCCACACUGGCACUGCGACACGGGCCAGACUCCUACGGGAGGCAGCAGUAAGGAAUAUUGCGCAAUGGGCGAAAGCCUGACGCAGUGACGCCGCGGUGGGGGAGUGAAGGUCUUCGGAUUGUAAACCCCUUUCGGGAGGGAAGAUGGAACGAGCAAUCGUUCGGACGGUACCUCCAGAAGCAGCCACGGCUAACUUCGUGCC
RNAcentral lists this ribosomal RNA (488 nucleotides) under uncultured bacterium. Its description in RNAcentral is "bacterial SSU rRNA". It matches the Rfam family "Bacterial small subunit ribosomal RNA", at positions 29 to 509 of the family's 1533-position model. The record is from RNAcentral.